This 229-nucleotide ribosomal RNA is filed under the name uncultured bacterium. RNAcentral's name for it is "partial 16S ribosomal RNA". It matches the Rfam family "Bacterial small subunit ribosomal RNA", at positions 524 to 751 of the family's 1533-position model. The record is from RNAcentral.
UACGAAGGGGCUAGCGUUGUUCGGAUUUACUGGCGUAAAGCGCACGUAGGCGGUUUGUUAAGUCAGAGGUGAAAUCCCGGAGCUCAACUCCGGAACUGCCUUUGACUACGUGGCAAGCUAGAGUCCGGAAGAGGUAAGUGGAACUCCUAGUGUAGAGGUGGAAUUCGUAGAAUAUUAGGAAGAACACCAGUGGCGAAGGCGGCUUACUGGUCCGGAACUGACGCUGAGG